UACGAAGGGGGCUAGCGUUGUUCGGAAUCACUGGGCGUAAAGCGCAUGCAGGCGGAUUGUUAAGUCGGGGGUGAAAUCCCGAGGCUCAACCUCGGAACUGCCUUCGAUACUGGCAAUCUUGAGUCCGGGAGAGGUGAGUGGAACUGCGAGUGUAGAGGUGAAAUUCGUAGAUAUUCGCAAGAACACCAGUGGCGAAGGCGGCUCACUGGCCCGGUACUGACGCUGAGGUGCGAAAGCUAGGGGAGCAAACGGG
This 253-nucleotide ribosomal RNA is filed under the name uncultured bacterium. RNAcentral's name for it is "partial 16S ribosomal RNA". It matches the Rfam family "Bacterial small subunit ribosomal RNA", at positions 524 to 776 of the family's 1533-position model. The record is from RNAcentral.